AUUGAACGCUGGCGGCAGGCCUAACACAUGCAAGUCGAGCGGCAGCGGGAAAGUAGCUUGCUACUUUUGCCGGCGAGCGGCGGACGGGUGAGUAAUGCCUGGGGAUCUGCCCAGUCGAGGGGGAUAACAGUUGGAAACGACUGCUAAUACCGCAUACGCCCUGCGGGGGAAAGGAGGGGACCUUCGGGCCUUUCGCGAUUGGAUGAAGCCAGGUGGGAGUAGCUAGUUGGUGGGGUAAUGGCUCACCAAGGCGACGAUCCCUAGCUGGUGUGAGAGGAUGAUCAGCCACACUGGAACUGAGACACGGUCCAGACUCCUACGGGAGGCAGCAGUGGGGAAUAUUGCACAAUGGGGGAAACCCUGAUGCAGCCAUGCCGCGUGUGUGAAGAAGGCCUUCGGGUUGUAAAGCACUUUCAGCGAGGAGGAAAGGUUGUUGGCUAAUAUCCAGCAACUGUGACGUUACUCGCAGAAGAAGCACCGGCUAACUCCGUGCCAGCCGCCGCAGUAA
RNAcentral lists this ribosomal RNA (508 nucleotides) under uncultured bacterium. RNAcentral describes it as "partial 16S ribosomal RNA". It matches the Rfam family "Bacterial small subunit ribosomal RNA", at positions 29 to 523 of the family's 1533-position model. The record is from RNAcentral.